Molecule: long non-coding RNA, 3136 nt
Filed under: Anser brachyrhynchus (Pink-footed goose)
Lineage: Eukaryota; Metazoa; Chordata; Aves; Anseriformes; Anatidae
Description: lncRNA (ENSABRG00000019266.1)
Source: RNAcentral
CAGUUGUGUAAAAUCUAUUCUGUGACAUGAUCCCAGGUCCUUUUUGGAGGGGUAAAGGAGCUGCUAAAUGUAGCAGAGAGUGCUCUUUGACAUCAGCAACUGUUAAUACAUAACCAGAGUUACCAGGGAGGGGGCAGCUUAGAAAGAAAAGGAACAAUGAACAGGAAGAAAAAUUAUAAUAAUUUUUGCACUGUACAGAAAAUACUCUUUCCUUCUAGGACAUGUUGUGCCCGGAGUUCUCCCUGUUCCAGGCUGCCUGCUUUACAGCUCUUUGUCUGCUUUCUGUGAUCAUAAAUCUUGUAAAUCUCAUUGCUUCCAUGCCUCUACACAUCCUUCUCAGAAACAUUUUCUGCAGAUUUUGCAUCUGUGAUCCUGGAAAAUAAAUCCCUACGGAGGCUGUUAAUGCAAAUUGGCUGUGUUUAAGUGAGUGGCUGAUGCCCGUCAGCUGUGGUGAGAGGUGGCUGUAGCGUAUCUGCUCCAGCUGUAAUUAGGGGCUGAACCAUGAAGAAGUAGUACGUGGUGUGGUUGAGCUGUUCCAGGCUUGGGGGUGGUUGUGGGAAGCUGCUGAAGCCCUGGAGGUCCAGGAGGGCUGAUAGGUGACAGGAGCUGUGAAAUAGGAGCGUGAGCAUGCUGCAGCUGGAGAUGAGUGCAGGAGGAGCCCGGUGAGCCUGCCCCAGGAUCGUGGAGCAUCCAACAGCACCAGAGCCAGGGUCGUGGAGCAUCCAACAUCACCAGAGCCAUGCUCCCAGGCAGACAAACGGGCUCUGCCUGCUUCCCGUGGCUGUGCUUGCUGCUUCUCAGUGGCCCCGCUCUGCAGCCAGGUAUUGCUGCGUCCAGAGAUUCCCCUGCUGAGGGGACAAAUGGCCCUUCCUCUAACAAAACAAAUGUGACAGUUUAUCGCUGUAAAGAUUGUGACAGCAAAAUUUGCCAAUCAUCCAAUUACGAGAGGUUUGAAAUAAUCGGAGAAACACAAAAUGGGACAUUAUCUAAUGACAUUAUUCAGUUGGUGACCAGUGAAACUCACAUCAUUAUGUGCUUUCAGCAAGAAAUUAAGUAUCUUAACGAAGUUUAUGCCGUCAUCUUGGAGAACAACUCGGGAAUAGGAGAAUCCUGUGGCAAGCUGGAGCUUGGAGAAAAUGGGGCGCAUCACAUCACAGAGGAGGAAAAAAUCUGCUGUGCAGUAGAGACAAAUGAAACCAAAGCAUACGUCAGGAACCUGAACUGCUACAUUGAAAGCAAGAAAACAAGCUCAAUAUACAGGCCCCCUGAUGAUAUAACUCUAGAUAAUCCAACAGAUCCAGGCAACAGUAAGAGAAUUGGCAUCACUGCCGCUUUCCUGAUUCUUGGGGUUUGUGCAGCAGCAGCACUGGUGCUGUAUUGUGUUCAAAGAACCCGAAAUGGUCAAGGACCUGUCAUAGUGCUCUAUCAGAUUCUUAAAGGUGUUAUAAAACCCAAUCAGGCUUACGAAAGCAGAAGGUCACAGCCAUUUGAAGCAUCAUCUAUAAAUGAGACAAACCAGGCCUUCAUGACAGCAGCAUCCUUCUCAAACAAAGUCUAGCCAUCACCUGAAGAAACACAUUUCUUUUAUACAAGACCUCACAGUAGUUUUUACAAAUGUACUUUCACCACUCCCAUGCAUUCACCAAGGACUGCAAUUGCCCUAGUUAUCCAACUCCAGGUUUUUGCAAGCAAUAUGAGAAGCUUCCUGGGGCUACUGUCCUCUCCUGGUACUUGGUUGAGGAGCCCCAGCAUCACAAGAUGCAUGGCUUGUUCGGCAGCACAGGCUUAAACCAGCUGAAUCCUUCCAAUGCUUUUUAUGGUUGAAGCUACCAGUUCUCCUAAAAUCCUUUGGAGAACUGCAUCUGUGCUCAGGCAGGCCGUCUUGAACCCUGAUGGAGAUGUUCUCUGCAUAUCUUCCAUGUCAUAACACAGUAGCGUGGCCAUAGUUUUUCAUCCGUUAACUCCCAGGUGGGUUCUAGAUUUCCUCAAGGAGGAGUUUUGUAGAACCAUGGAACAGCUUGGGUUGGAAGGGACCUUAAAGACCACCCGCUAGCUCAGGCUCUCCAGAGCCUCAUCCAGCCUGUACAGGUGACCGGCUUGUUUCAUUAGAGCGGUUUGGCCUUCUGAGCCAAAAGUCUGGUUUUGCAGCCACCUGCAGGCUGAAGGCUACUCUGCGGGCUCUGUCCUGUGCAGCAGAGACAGGAGGGCCUGCACUUCAGGGAUCCCCAAAGGGUAGUUCUCAGGCAGCAUGUCAUCUUCAAAUGAUUUACUACUCAUGCUUGAUUUGAGUAAAUCCUCAAAAUUUGCAUUAUACCCAAACCAGUAUCAGGCUUUUGAGCAAAAAGCAGCAGCAUCCAAAUUGCAAAAGCACAUCCCCGAAGCGGGAUGGAUGCUUGUUGAAUCAUUUUUUGCAUGGUUUAACCAACCAUAAACCUGUAAGGUGGCACUAUCGGCAGGAAAUCUCAGAGGAUAUAGGAUGUUGUGUGACUCUGUAUACAUAAAAAAUACCAAAAAAAAGUAUACAAAAGCAUACAAAAAAGUUAUGGACCUUUUUUUUUUUUCUUAACCUCAAAACUUUGGAAGGUCCUUCAAAUACAAGUAGGGAAUUUCUGUGUUGUUUUGCAACAGUAUGAUUAGUUCAACGUGCAUUUUUCCAGUGCAGCUAUCAUGGGUGUUACUUUUGGCUCUGUUUCUCUGCUGUAAGUCAUUGCUGCGAGAGCCUCUGUGGAAGUGCCAAGCAUUCCCAUUGAUGCAUUGAGCUGUGUGCUGGGCUUCAGGAGAUUCCAGUGAUGCGUACCUGAUUUUCCUAGACCUAGAAAAACACUGUCUUAAAAUUAAAGGCUAUCGCAGUUCUCUGAUGUGGUCUUUUAAUGGGGAAAAACAAAUGUGUGUAUACAUAUUCGUGUGUGCGUGUAGGGUGGUCAAAUUGAUGACUGACACUGUUCUUUUUUUGUGUACCCUCAGAUUUUGAGUUUUUUGAAAAAGAAACAACAUGCUAUUUGACAACUUAUGUUGUGGUAAUUUGGGGGAUUCAAGUUUAAUAGCGUGCAAGUUUAAUUUCUAAUCUUUAACACCAGUUGGGGCCAGAGAGCUAGUCAAGUCUUGAGAAUAAAGGUUACCUGCCCGGUUCCGCGCA